RNAcentral lists this small nuclear RNA (289 nucleotides) under Chinchilla lanigera (long-tailed chinchilla). RNAcentral's name for it is "7SK RNA (ENSCLAG00000021753.1)". It matches the Rfam family "7SK RNA". Rfam says of the family: 7SK was discovered as an abundant small nuclear RNA in the mid-70s but a possible function has only recently been suggested. Two independent studies have found that 7SK RNA binds the CDK9/cyclin T complex (known as elongation factor P-TEFb). Lineage: Eukaryota; Metazoa; Chordata; Mammalia; Rodentia; Chinchillidae. The record is from Rfam by way of RNAcentral.
UGAUGUGAGGGUGACCUGGCUGUGACAUCUUCACCCCACUGAUUGCCAGGCUUGACUCAGCAGACCCGGCUGGGGGUGGGUGUCCCCUUCCUCCCUCACCGCUCCUUCCUGGAGCUGAGGACCACCAGCCCGUGGAGGAUGGCAUUCCUCAGUCAAGGGUGUAUGAGUAGCUGUGCUGCCCUAGGACCUCGAAGCAAGCUCUCCCAAAAAUGCUAUGUCCUAUUCCUGUAAACUGGGCAUUUUACCUUACUUGGAAAAGAGGAGUUAAUUCGCACAGGGAAUUAUGUUU